Molecule: ribosomal RNA, 253 nt
Filed under: uncultured bacterium
Lineage: Bacteria
Description: partial 16S ribosomal RNA
Rfam family: Bacterial small subunit ribosomal RNA
Source: RNAcentral
UACGUAGGGGGCAAGCGUUGUCCGGAUUUACUGGGCGUAAAGAGCGCGUAGGCGGAAGCUUAAGUGUGGCCUGAAAGCCCCCGGCUCAACCGGGGAGGGUGGCUGCAAACUGGGUUUCUUGAGGGCGGCAGAGGAGAGUGGAAUUCCUGGUGUAGCGGUGAAAUGCGUAGAGAUCAGGAGGAACACCCGUGGCGAAGGCGGCUCUCUGGCCCGAUACUGACGCUGAGGCACGAAAGCGUGGGGAGCAAACAGG